This is a non-coding RNA of Camellia sinensis, 941 nucleotides long. NCBI's taxonomy places the organism in Eukaryota, Viridiplantae, Streptophyta, Magnoliopsida, Ericales, Theaceae. The record is from RefSeq and is a predicted model, not a curated record.
AAUCGGAUUGUGAGCAGAUGUUACUCUGAAUCCAUUUAUGAGAAGCUAUCUAGUUCUAAAACGAGCAACAAUUCUAUCAAAAGAGAAACGAGUCAACACAAACAUGCUGUCUCAGUGUGAACAGAGGAUUGACAAAGCCUAGAAGUGAGGCCGAUGCAUAGUAACCAGCGUCUCAAAACCAAAUUAGACAGAACAGUCUCCUCUAGAAUUUCUGAUCCUUGAUCUUCAACAACGGAUCCAAUCCAUUCACUAGGAGUUAUUACGGAUGGUUCUACUCUUCCAAUACUUUCACUGGUUCUUUUUCCCAAAAGAGAAUCUGAAUUGGGAAACAGAUUAUUGUUGAAAAUGUUGCAUUUUCGAAAAGGUGCUUCGAUUUAUCUUUGAUUCAAGUCUGUUUAGCCGGAGGCUAGUGCUGAGUGAGAGCCUGCAUUAGUGGUGCAUCCAGGACAAGAACCAUCGUCCUUGUUCAUUUAUUCAAAGUUGUAUUCUGGGACAGAGAUGGGAUGACAAGAAUGAACUGUGUCUGGUCCCUGCCAAAGGACGACCAAAAGUAUUAUUGACAUCAUGAAAAGUCUAAAUCAUACAAAGCAAGGCUGGUCCGGGACGGCAAAUGAGAAAUGGAAUUGCAUAUACUGGGGUUGUUGGUGCUGAGUCGCAGGCUGGCCGUUCCAUUCUCCCGAAGAAAAUGCUUUGGUUUGCAGAGUGCAUCAUCUGAUCACCUGAUUGAUGGAUCAAGCUGAAGAAUCCAUGGGAGAACUCAUUUUUAGUAGCAGCACUGUUUUUGGCUAAAUUUGUAGGAAAUGAACGUUUAGCUGUGUUUUGCGUUCACCUGUAUUCUAUUCUGUAACCAAUAUCCUCUAUAAAGUUUUGAUGAACUUGUAUGUAUAUAUAUAUUAAUCAUUACUAUUGAAUUUUUUGCCAGAAUUGAAAUUUUUUUCAGA